RNAcentral lists this ribosomal RNA (253 nucleotides) under uncultured bacterium. RNAcentral describes it as "partial 16S ribosomal RNA". It matches the Rfam family "Bacterial small subunit ribosomal RNA", at positions 524 to 776 of the family's 1533-position model. The record is from RNAcentral.
AACGUAGGUGGCGAGCGUUAUCCGGAUUUACUGGGCGUAAAGCGUGUGCAGAUGGGGCGGUAAGUGGUGUAUGAAAUCACUCAGCUUAACUGAGCGAGGUUAUGCCAGACUGCCGUUCUAGAGAACGGGAGAGGGACGUGGAAUUCCGGGUGUAGUGGUGAAAUGCGUAGAGAUCCGGAGGAACCCCUGAGGCGAAGGCGGCGUCCUGGCCCUAUCCUGACGCUGAGGCGCGAGAGCGUGGGGAGCAAACCGG